This is a long non-coding RNA of Dermochelys coriacea (leatherback sea turtle), 2529 nucleotides long. RefSeq lists it as uncharacterized. The transcript has 2 exons. NCBI's taxonomy places the organism in Eukaryota, Metazoa, Chordata, Testudines, Dermochelyidae. The record is from RefSeq and is a predicted model, not a curated record.
UAAAUGUGUGAGUAAUUUGUGCAGGUCCCAGCUGUAGCCAGCACUGCACUGUACAAAAUAUGCUAAACAAACCCUAACUAACCCAGUUCACUGCAUGCUGGCAGCUGCACUGAUUCUCAUCCGGGAGAUAUUCUGAGGCUUACAUUGCCAGACCUGGAUGCCUAAAGUUAGGUUUCUAAAUCCAUAGUGAGGCACCUAAAAAAGUAGCCCAAUUUUCAGCAGGGCCAUGUCCCCACAAAUCCCACUGACAGCAGUGAGAGCUGCUUAGCACCUUCCAUAAUGAAGCUUCUUCUACUGAGUCUAACUUUAGGCACACAGGGUUGAAAGCUUUGGCCUGCCUUGAUGACCUACAAUAUUAAACCACACCCAGAACAGCAUGCAGCAGCUGCAGAAGUGUUCUUUUUUGUUAUCCAUGCAGUGAGGGUGAAAGAUCACUCAAGCGCUACCCCACCUACUGGUAGAUGGCUGCCUACGGACCUCCUCAGGGUGUGAGUGCACUCAGGUGAGGCACCAGGGGUAAUGCGUUUCCAGCCCCUUACAGUUCUGAAUCAAGGUGAUUCAGAUCAAGUAUAAAUGCAGAAAGAGAGCUGUAGCACCAGUACCCUAUCUCAGAAGUUUACAGUGGGGUAUACAGGUUUAUACAGGGGUAAGAACAUGUGUUUUCCAUCAUAAACAGGAUUUACAGUUUGAUUCAAUGGCUCUCAGCACCCCCACUAUACAAAUUGUUCCAGCAACCCGGUUCCAAACUACACAGCUAAGGACAGCACUCAGCUUACUAUAGGACCGAUAACACAAGCCCUCUGCUUUAGUACAUAGAGGACAGGUCUCUGAAUGUGCAGGCUUGCUUGCAGCACAAUGGAGCAGUGACUGCUGGAAUCCAGCUGUCUCUUCAGGCUGCACCAGAGAGGGCAGUUGGAAGCCACUUCAUAGGACUCAGUGCUGCAUUUAGCUUUUGUGGGUGCUCAUCUCUAGAGUUUAAGAACUGGAAGUGGUUUUGGCGUAGGCCGGCAUCUUUUCAUGUCCUGUAGGCUGGAGUCCUAGUAGUGAAGAACAGCCUUCUGCAUUUUAUCAGUUGUUUUUAUGUCAUCAAUUAGUUCAUAGUCAUGGUCAGAGCCAUCACUGACAUUUGCAUCUAAAAGGAAAAGGAAAGAGAAUGCCAUGCAGGUGCCAAUACCGUUUGGGAUGCCCUGGAUGACUCCAUGUGCUAAAAUACUAGGGAGGUACAGACUAUAGAAACCCUUUAACGAGGCAGAUUCUUGGUCUCUCCUUCUCCUUCCCUGCCAGUGUUGAGAGGCCUUGCGUGCAAGAGUAAUACUUUUAUCUGAGUACAACACUAGCAAAGGUGACUAACAGCAAACAUCCCAGGAGCAAGAGCAUAAAAAGCCAUGAGCAAUAUAGUGUGUUUGCAUGUUGCUAAGAACGCAGCAUGUGUUGUGCUCAAUUAGACCAAUGACCUAUCCAGACUGGUGUCCAGCUUCUGUCAGUGGCCAAUAUCUAAUGCUUUGCGGGGGAUGACAAUCGAAACCGUUCCAUGAACCUAGAGCCAGUUUUGGGGUGCUGUUAGUGGGAGGGCACAUACUUUCCAGCCCCUGUAGAGAUUGGUUCACACCCUCAAGCGUGAGAUUUGUUUUUAUGAUCGUAGCCUACUUCUUUGUAUCUGCAUUGGCAUGAGGGUUACCCCUUGCUGCGUGCACUCCCUGAGUGAACACGACAGCCUGAUUUCUUCUUACAUUAUAUUAACAAAACUUUAAAGAAUAUGAAAGUUGCAAAAUCGAGCACUCAAAAGUUAGGAAUCAUAAAAAUUAAGGUGGCGUGCCUGGGUAUCGUUCCUGUUUUACACAUAGGGACCAGAGACACAGAGAGGUUAAGGCCAAAAUUGUUAUCUGGUCCACUAAUUUUGGGUGCCAAAUUUGAGAUGCCUAGGCCCUGCUUUCCUAGAGUACUGAUAUGCAUUUUAUAGUACUAUAUAUGUUCAAGCACACAUCCCACUGACCCUAGAGCAGAUCAAAAAUUUCCUGCUGAAAAUGGUGUUUUCUGAAAAACGACUAUAUAUUCCCAUGAGAAAUUUAAUUUUUGUCAGCAAAAAUUUUCUAAACAAAAAUUGUAAUCUAAUUUCUUUUCAAAUUAAAUUUUAAUUUUAAUUUUUGAAAUAAUUUUUUUUGAGCCUUCAGGUUUUUCCCCCCUUCUCACUCUUUUUUUUGUUUGUUACUAAAUGCAGUAGAAUGAAUAAGUCUAGAAUUUUUUUCCCUCCCUUUUCUCCUCUGUAAGUUGUCAAAUCUUUGUCAACUUUAGAAAAGUUACCAAGGGACGAAAGGAGAAAUGAAAUUGUCAUUUUGUUACUUGGCAGCUUUUCCAAAGUUGAAGAUUUGAAACACAGUAGACUGGAAAAAGAAAGAAAAAAGGACUGUGUGAGGAAAACCCUGGACCACAUUCAUUUUAUUGCAGUCAGUGGCAAAAAAGGGGAGAACUAAAUUCUGAAUAUUCAAAUUUUUUGGUAAAACAAUUUAAAUAAAGUUUUUACAAAAAGUG